AGGCUCAGUAGAAUUGCUUCAGACAUGAAAUAAAGCUAAAAUGAAUUUGUGUCCAAUAUCAUUGGCAUUAGUGCUCAUUACUGUUGUGGUGUAAUGCCUCAAACCAUCUAAAAUCAAUUUUAGAAACUAACCAGGCUCAAAACCAUGGUUCCCUUUGUUUAUCUGCAGAUCUGUCCUGUUUAAGGUAAAAUUCACCCUGGGCCCUCGCCCCUGACCUCCACCAGGUGACUUUUCAUGGAGACAUUCUCACUGCCAGCAAUCCUUCAACUCUUUCCACAGAAGUCUGCCAGGAAGAGAAAUGUCCAAAGUCCAUUUUGAGCUCUCAGCCUGGGAUUUAGCUGCAAUUUUUCAUGGACACUGGGCAAUUACUGGCAUACGAAGCCAAGGAGAAGCAAGAGAGGGAAGGCCCUGCUUCUCUAGUGAGAUCAUCAUCUUUGCAUCAGUCACUGUUAGAGACAUCUCUGGUUUCUGUUCCCAGCCUAACUGCACAGAAAAGAGAUAUUCUAGCUUCUCCCUAGUUACGCAUAUGUGGAGAAAACUGAAAAAGAUGGGUAAUCAUGGUUGUUGUAAGUACUUGGGGGCUCCAGAAGGUGUCCCUAAGAACUCCAUAAAGAGGGGCUGUUGUUUCUCUGAGAUUUAAACCUUUAGCACAAAAUGGAUCACAGUGCAGCUGCUGGAAGUCAUCCGAAGGAGCUGAAAAUUUUCCAAGCCCACACCCUCAAUUGCAACUUGUUUGAGCAAUUUUAUUAGCAAAUCUAAAGAAAUAAUGCUUUGAUCAGAAAGGAGAGGGUUUACUCAGCAUGGAAGCAGGACAAAAAAAGGGACUCAAAGGCAAAUGUUAGCAGGGACUGCCCAAACCUUGUCCAAAAGAGAAGGAGCUGAAGUCAAUCGACGGGUAAUUUCUAGGCCUCUUGAAAGAUGCAUCUCCAAUACGGUGUCAGAAAUCAUAGAUAUCACAAGUCUGUAAUCAACAGAUUUCAAGGAUUCAGGUCCCCUUUGGGAAGAACAUCCCAUCCUAUCAUGGUGCCACUUAAACACUUAGUUUUCCUGUCUCAAUUCAAUGUUCACCAAACCUUGUCUUCAGGUUGCCUUGUUGCUGCUGAACAUUUGCCAACAGAAAGUAGACAGGAUGCUGACACUGUUGUAGACCAUCUCUGAUAGUGAUUUCUUAUUAAAAAUGUCAAUGCUGUGUUUUGAUCUUAUACAUACAUGCUGUGUGCCUGCUAAGGAGGCUUCCCACAGAAAAGCUGCUGCUGCUUCACCUCAGCGUAUACCUUGACACAGUUGCUAUCCUGAAAGCGGUUUUUUCUUACCAUUUUAACUAGUUUUAAGUGACCAGUUGAGCGGCAUUAAGCACAUUCACAUUAUUGUGCAACCGUCACCACCAGCCAUCUCCACUUUCUAACCACCAGCCAAGGGCUCUCUUCACCACCAAGCCAACUCUCAGGGCAGCAGCAAUGUGUACCUUAUCUUUCCAACAAGGACAUUAUUUCAUUUUAUGGAAACUGGGAGAGAUGUUUUGUCUUCUGAAGUAUCUGGAGAUUUCUUCUUCAUUCCCAGACUCUUUCAUCAUCAAAACUACACAGCUUCUCACGGUCACUUACUUUGUUAAAUUUGUAGUUUAAAAUGAACAUAAGGAAAACUACUUCUCCAACAAAGGAUGCAGAGUUCCUGUUGUGCUCAACUCUGCCAGAUCGUGGGCUUAUUGACAAUAGGUUUGGAA
Molecule: long non-coding RNA, 1723 nt
Filed under: Homo sapiens (human)
Lineage: Eukaryota; Metazoa; Chordata; Mammalia; Primates; Hominidae
Description: non-protein coding lnc-SNX10-6:1
Source: RNAcentral